UACGUAGGCAGCAAGCGUUGUUCGGAGUUACUGGGCGUAAAGGGUGUGUAGGCGGUCUUCUAAGUUUGGUGUGAAAUCUCCCGGCUCAACUGGGAGGGUGCGCCGAAAACUGGGAGGCUAGAGUGCGGGAUGGGAGAGUGGAAUUCCUGGUGUAGCGGUGAAAUGCGUAGAGAUCAGGAGGAACACCUGUUGUGUAGACAGCUUACUGGACGAUAACUGACGCUGAGGCACGAAAGCGUGGGUAGCAAACAGG
RNAcentral lists this ribosomal RNA (253 nucleotides) under uncultured bacterium. RNAcentral describes it as "partial 16S ribosomal RNA". It matches the Rfam family "Bacterial small subunit ribosomal RNA", at positions 524 to 776 of the family's 1533-position model. The record is from RNAcentral.